Long non-coding RNA from Nerophis ophidion (straightnose pipefish), 713 nucleotides. RefSeq lists it as uncharacterized. The transcript has 2 exons. NCBI's taxonomy places the organism in Eukaryota, Metazoa, Chordata, Actinopteri, Syngnathiformes, Syngnathidae. The record is from RefSeq and is a predicted model, not a curated record.
UUUGCUUUCUCACAUUGUUGGAACGCAGGGACACUCGGCCUCCACAACGAGCGCAGAAUUUGGUUUGGCAGUAGGAGCAGAGGUGACCACAGCCGUCUGCGAACUUGGUCUUGCGGCAGAUGCCACAGGUGGGCGCGUCGUCCUUUGGUUGGGUUUGCUGACGCCGCGUCUCUGCCCCGAUGCGUCGUACCUCCUGCUUAUAGCUCUCAAACUGCUGGUGCAGUGUUCUGUGAGGAAAAGAAGGAAACAUUUUUCUACAGUCCGCGUUGGCCCUGUGAUGAAGUGGCGACUUGUCCAUGGUGUACCCCACCUUUUACCUGAAUGCAGCUGGGAUAAACUCCAGCACCUCGAGAGGGACAAGCGGUAGGAAAUGGAUGGUCGGCAGGAUUUUCUACAAAGUGUUUUGAUACAUUAUUUGCCCUCAUUAUGGGUGUGAAAUAGAUCUUAGCACGAUUCAGAACAGUUCUGCACACACAUUACGGGGACGGCAUGGCGCGGUUGGGAGAGUGGCCGUGCCAGCAACCUGAGGGUUCCUGGUUCAAUCCCCACCUUCUACCAACCUAGCCAUGUCCGUUGUGUUACCAUGAAUUGAUUAACGUGGACCCCAACUUAAGCACGUUAAAAAACUUAUUCGGGUGUUACCAUUUAGUGGUCAUUUGUACGGAAUAUGUACUGAACUGUGCAAUCUACUAAUAAAAGUCUAAACCAAUCAA